Molecule: long non-coding RNA, 532 nt
Filed under: Bos indicus x Bos taurus (hybrid cattle)
Lineage: Eukaryota; Metazoa; Chordata; Mammalia; Artiodactyla; Bovidae
Description: lncRNA (ENSBIXG00005001112.1)
Source: RNAcentral
AGUGGUUCUGUCUGUUUCGGUGCGUGGAGCCCUGUCUGGCACAGAGCAUGAACUCACAUGACAACAAACUGAAACAGUAACUGAAUGCAAUCACUGCACAUGUGUCGCUUAGAAACGGGAGGAAAUGAGGAAGAAACAGGAGAUCACCACAGGCCUAUAUAGAUGGGCACAGACAGCAGCCACACAGGUGGGAUCUGGAAAGAAUGAGGAUCCUGGAGUCACCUGGAACGGAUCAAGGCCUGGCUUCUUCAGGAACUGGCAUCAGUCUACAAAUAAUAUAAAUCCUGCCUGCAUUAUUCAGCAGAAGAGCCAUGACAUUGACGCUCUUUCUAAAAUGGCUCUUCCUUCAAAGGUAUGUAGACUUCUGUAUUAUACAUUUAUUUAUAACCAUCAAAACUCUGCUUUCUUAUUUGGGCCAUCAUGUGCCAAAACUAGACAUGAUUCAUAAAUGACAAGAAAGAAAAAGGAAAUACCAAUGACCAGAAAAGUGUGGAUAUUUACUAUUUUAGGUACUAUUACUUUUAUAAUUCAU